UACGUAGGUGGCGAGCGUUGUCCGGAUUUACUGGGCGUAAAGGGAGCGUAGGCGGACUUUUAAGUGAGAUGUGAAAUACCCGGGCUCAACUUGGGUGCUGCAUUUCAAACUGGAAGUCUAGAGUGCAGGAGAGGAGAAUGGAAUUCCUAGUGUAGCGGUGAAAUGCGUAGAUAUUAGGAGGAACACCAGUUGCGAAGGCGGCUCUCUGGACUGUAACUGACACUGAGGCUCGAAAGCGUGGGGAGCAAACAGGAUUAGAUACCCU
This 265-nucleotide ribosomal RNA is filed under the name uncultured prokaryote. RNAcentral describes it as "partial 16S ribosomal RNA". It matches the Rfam family "Bacterial small subunit ribosomal RNA", at positions 524 to 788 of the family's 1533-position model. The record is from RNAcentral.